This 31-nucleotide non-coding RNA is filed under the name Lotharella oceanica. The record is from RNAcentral. Lineage: Eukaryota; Cercozoa; Chlorarachniophyceae.
GAAAAAAAAAAAAAAAAAAAAAAAAAAAAUG